UAACCUGCCCAAGAGAUCGGGAUAACACCUGGAAACAGAUGCUAAUACCGGAUAACAACAGAUGAUGCCUAUCAACUGUUUAAAAGAUGGUUCUGCUACCACUCUUGGAUGGACCUGCGGUGCAUUAGCUAGUUGGUAGGGUAACGGCCUACCAAGGCGAUGAUGCAUAGCCGAGUUGAGAGACUGAUCGGCCACAUUGGGACUGAGACACGGCCAAACUCCUACGGGAGGCAGCAGUG
RNAcentral lists this ribosomal RNA (239 nucleotides) under uncultured Lactobacillus sp. RNAcentral's name for it is "partial 16S ribosomal RNA". It matches the Rfam family "Bacterial small subunit ribosomal RNA", at positions 122 to 356 of the family's 1533-position model. Lineage: Bacteria; Bacillati; Bacillota; Bacilli; Lactobacillales; Lactobacillaceae. The record is from RNAcentral.